This is a non-coding RNA of Clostridium perfringens B str. ATCC 3626, 208 nucleotides long. The record is from Rfam. NCBI's taxonomy places the organism in Bacteria, Bacillati, Bacillota, Clostridia, Eubacteriales, Clostridiaceae.
UAGAACUGUUAUUGCGAAAGGUAGAAUGAUAGGGUAACGCCUUGAAAUGCCUUCCUUGAUACUCCGAAUAGCGUUUUGUUGAGUAAACAACAAAGGGUUAUAAGCUCGGUGAAGUCGGUUGAGAGUACACCGUAAGGUAUGUAGAAAUACAUACCACGAAAUGCGAACCAGAGGUGGUCGAGUGUAUGAUAGGCCGGAGGUCUAUAAA